AGUGAACGCUGGCGGUAGGCCUAACACAUGCCAGUCGAACGGCAGCACAGUAAGAGCUUGCUCUUACGGGUGGCGAGUGGCGGACGGGUGAGGAAUACAUCGGAAUCUACUUUUUCGUGGGGGAUAACGUAGGGAAACUUACGCUAAUACCGCAUACGACCUACGGGUGAAAGCAGGGGAUCUUCGGACCUUGCGCGAUUGAAUGAGACGAUGUCGGAUUAGCUAGUUGGCGGGGUAAAGGCCCACCAAGGCGACGAUCCGUAGCUGGUCUGAGAGGAUGAUCAGCCACACUGGAACUGAGACACGGUCCAGACUCCUACGGGAGGCAGCAGUGGGGAAUAUUGGACAAUGGGCGCAAGCCUGAUCCAGCCAUACCGCGUGGGUGAAGAAGGCCUUCGGGUUGUAAAGCCCUUUUGUUGGGAAAGAAAAGCAGCAGGUUAAUACCCCGCUGUUCUGACGGUACCCAAAGAAUAAGCACCGGCUAACUUCGUG
Molecule: ribosomal RNA, 492 nt
Filed under: uncultured bacterium
Lineage: Bacteria
Description: partial 16S ribosomal RNA
Rfam family: Bacterial small subunit ribosomal RNA
Source: RNAcentral